UACGUAGGGGGCAAGCGUUGUCCGGAUUUAUUGGGCGUAAAGAGCGUGUAGGCGGCCACACAGGUCAGCUGUGAAAAACUCGAGGCUCAACCUCGAGACGUCGGUUGAAACCGUAUGGCUAGAGUCCGGAAGAGGAGAGUGGAAUUCCUGGUGUAGCGGUGAAAUGCGCAGAUAUCAGGAGGAACACCGGUGGCGAAGGCGGGUCUCUGGGCCGAUACUGACGCUGAGGAGCGAAAGCAUGGGGAGCGAACAGG
Molecule: ribosomal RNA, 254 nt
Filed under: uncultured bacterium
Lineage: Bacteria
Description: partial 16S ribosomal RNA
Rfam family: Bacterial small subunit ribosomal RNA
Source: RNAcentral